RNAcentral lists this ribosomal RNA (947 nucleotides) under Escherichia coli. Its description in RNAcentral is "partial 23S ribosomal RNA". It matches the Rfam family "Bacterial large subunit ribosomal RNA", at positions 252 to 1239 of the family's 2925-position model. Lineage: Bacteria; Pseudomonadati; Pseudomonadota; Gammaproteobacteria; Enterobacterales; Enterobacteriaceae. The record is from RNAcentral.
AGCGAACGGGGAGCAGCCCAGAGCCUGAAUCAGUGUGUGUGUUAGUGGAAGCGUCUGGAAAGGCGCGCGAUACAGGGUGACAGCCCCGUACACAAAAAUGCACAUACUGUGAGCUCGAUGAGUAGGGCGGGACACGUGGUAUCCUGUCUGAAUAUGGGGGGACCAUCCUCCAAGGCUAAAUACUCCUGACUGACCGAUAGUGAACCAGUACCGUGAGGGAAAGGCGAAAAGAACCCCGGCGAGGGGAGUGAAAAAGAACCUGAAACCGUGUACGUACAAGCAGUGGGAGCCUCUUUUAUGGGGUGACUGCGUACCUUUUGUAUAAUGGGUCAGCGACUUAUAUUCUGUAGCAAGGUUAACCGAAUAGGGGAGCCGAAGGGAAACCGAGUCUUAACCGGGCGUUAAGUUGCAGGGUAUAGACCCGAAACCCGGUGAUCUAGCCAUGGGCAGGUUGAAGGUUGGGUAACACUAACUGGAGGACCGAACCGACUAAUGUUGAAAAAUUAGCGGAUGACUUGUGGCUGGGGGUGAAAGGCCAAUCAAACCGGGAGAUAGCUGGUUCUCCCCGAAAGCUAUUUAGGUAGCGCCUCGUGAAUUCAUCUCCGGGGGUAGAGCACUGUUUCGGCAAGGGGGUCAUCCCGACUUACCAACCCGAUGCAAACUGCGAAUACCGGAGAAUGUUAUCACGGGAGACACACGGCGGGUGCUAACGUCCGUCGUGAAGAGGGAAACAACCCAGACCGCCAGCUAAGGUCCCAAAGUCAUGGUUAAGUGGGAAACGAUGUGGGAAGGCCCAGACAGCCAGGAUGUUGGCUUAGAAGCAGCCAUCAUUUAAAGAAAGCGUAAUAGCUCACUGGUCGAGUCGGCCUGCGCGGAAGAUGUAACGGGGCUAAACCAUGCACCGAAGCUGCGGCAGCGACACUGUGUGUUGUUGGGUAGGGGAGCGU